This 497-nucleotide ribosomal RNA is filed under the name uncultured bacterium. RNAcentral describes it as "bacterial SSU rRNA". It matches the Rfam family "Bacterial small subunit ribosomal RNA", at positions 28 to 506 of the family's 1533-position model. The record is from RNAcentral.
GACGAACGCUGGCGGCGUGCCUAAUACAUGCAAGUAGAACGCUGAAGAGAGGAGCUUGCUCUUCUUGGAUGAGUUGCGAACGGGUGAGUAACGCGUAGGUAACCUGCCUUGUAGCGGGGGAUAACUAUUGGAAACGAUAGCUAAUACCGCAUAACAAUGGAUGACACAUGUCAUUUAUUUGAAAGGGGCAAUUGCUCCACUACAAGAUGGACCUGCGUUGUAUUAGCUAGUAGGUGAGGUAAUGGCUCACCUAGGCGACGAUACAUAGCCGACCUGAGAGGGUGAUCGGCCACACUGGGACUGAGACACGGCCCAGACUCCUACGGGAGGCAGCAGUAGGGAAUCUUCGGCAAUGGGGGCAACCCUGACCGAGCAACGCCGCGUGAGUGAAGAAGGUUUUCGGAUCGUAAAGCUCUGUUGUAAGUCAAGAACGAGUGUGAGAGUGGAAAGUUCACACUGUGACGGUAGCUUACCAGAAAGGGACGGCUAAACUACGU